Molecule: ribosomal RNA, 419 nt
Filed under: uncultured bacterium
Lineage: Bacteria
Description: bacterial SSU rRNA
Rfam family: Bacterial small subunit ribosomal RNA
Source: RNAcentral
UGGGGAAUCUUGCGCAAUGGUCGAGAGACUGACGCAGCGACGCCGCGUGCGGGAGGACGCCCUUCGGGGUGUAAACCGCUGUUACCCGGGACGAAACACGGAUUCAUUCCGUUUGACGGUACCGGGGGAGGAAGCACCGGCUAACUCUGUGCCAGCAGCCGCGGUAAUACAGAGGGUGCGAGCGUUGUCCGGAAUCACUGGGCGUAAAGGGCGCGUAGGCGGGCGAUCAAGCGUGCGGUGAAAGCUCGGGGCUCAACUCCGAGUCGGCCGUGCGAACUGGUUGUCUAGAGUCUGGUAGAGGUCGAUGGAAUUCCGGGUGUAGCGGUGGAAUGCGUAGAGAUCCGGAAGAACACCGGUGGCGAAGGCGGUCGACUGGGCCAGUACUGACGCUGAUGCGCGACAGCGUGGGGAGCAAACAG